UUUGUUGGCCUUUUUCAUUAGGUACUUUCGGAUUCCGAAUCUGUUCGGUGGCUAAACCAUGCUGUUGAAAAAAUAUGGCCUAUUUGUAUGGAACAGAUUGCAUCACAGAAGAUUCUGCUUCCCAUCAUACCUUGGUUCUUGGCUAAGUACAAACCUUGGACUGCUGUAUGAAUUUUGCUUCUCUUAGUACUAUUUUAUUGGCUAUCUCUGGAAAACUAGUACAUAAAGAUUCUGAUUUAGUAAAAUGUUCAAUUUAGUGCAAAUGAACAAUUUGUACUUUUUUAAGACUUGCAUUCGCUCCUAUGAAGUUACUUUCAAUGACCAUCAGAUGAUUAUUUUUUGAUCCAUUUUGGGUGUGUUUGACUGAAAUGUUGCUAUGCCUGCAGAAGAAAGCUGUGGUUCAGCAUUUAUAUUUGGGAAGAAAUCCACCUUUGAUCACGGAGGUGAGAGUUCUUCGUGAAUGCUCUGAUGAUGACCACUUGGUAUACCUUCUCCCUAACUCCUCUCUGUUGGCUAUGAUUUCUUGUUUCAAUUUUGAGGAUGAUAGAACUUUCAAUUUCUCGUUGCAGGUACUGGAGUUGGGAAUGAAUUUUCUCACCGCGGAUGACAUGAGUGCAAUACUUGCUGUGAAACUACGGAAAAGACUGGGAUUUGGGAUGUGGGCGAAGUUGCAUGUAACAGGCAUGCAUGUUGAAGGAAAGGUAUUAAUAAAAAUGGAAUGGUAUUAGCUAUAUUCAAUUUUCACAUUAAAAGAGUUUAUAGUCUUUCCUAAGCAGUUGUUAAUCGGAGGAAUUUGCAUGGCAUCACAUAGUUUGGGCCCCAUCCUGCCUCCUGCAAAUACUUAACUUUAUUGACUUACUGUAAUUAACUGGCAUUUACUCCAUGUUUCAGGUUUUGGUUGGGGUGAAGUUUAUCCGGAAGUGGCCUUUCAUUGGUCGUUUGCGAGUAUGCUUUGCUGAGCCUCCAUAUUUCCAGAUGACUGUGAAACCUGUCUUUACACACGGACUUGAUGUUACGGAACUUCCAGGAAUUGCUGGAUGGCUUGUAAUAACUCUUUUUCCUGAAAAUCUUUGACUAUAUUUUAUUAUCUUUUACUUCCUCUCAAUCUUAUUGUGUAUCCUCUUUUGCUCGCGUAGGACAAGCUUCUUUCGAUAGCAUUUGAGCAGACACUUGUUGAGGUUAGUUUUCCUUAACUCUGUUGCCAUACAAUGGCAUAAAUUCCAUCUUAUAUUCCACAAAUGCAUAUCGUAGUUUUAGAAUGCACUUACAGGUUUAAGUUACCAGCAACUUGCUUCUGUAUUGAACUUUAGCUCCAAAUAUUUGUUUAUUUUGCAGCCCAAUAUGCUGGUUGUGGAUGUUGAGAAGUUUGCUUCACCCAUUCCAGGUAAUUUUUUUCAUUAUUUUCCAGUAUUUAGUUGCUCUUAUAUUUUACUUAUAGCUCGUUUCCGGUCAUUAACUUAUUACCAGUUCUGCUAUUUCAUUAGUCAAAUUUUCUCAUUCACCUUUUUGUUGAUUCUGUCCGACAGAAAACUGGUUUUCUGUCAAUGAGAAGCAACCUAUUGCUCAUGCCAAGGUUGAAGUUAUUGAAGGGUCCGACAUGAAACCUUCAGAUUUAAAUGGUCAGUUUUAAAUCCAGUAUCUUACUUUUCCAUCAUGUAAAAUACAUGGUUUUAUGGUCAUUGAUUGGAUAUAAAAUUUUCAGGAUUGGCUGAUCCAUAUGUGAAAGGGACACUUGGCCCUUAUAGAUUCAGGACUAAGACGCAGAAGAAAACUUUGUCUCCGAAAUGGCACGAGGAAUUUAUGAUCCCCGUCUGCUCCUGGGAGGCACCUAACGUACUGAUUAUAGAAGUUCGUGACAAAGACCAUUUAUAUGAUGAUAGCCUUGGGUUUGUCUCUGAAUCUCUAAAAUAACCAUAUUGCUCGAUCAUGUUUGAAAUCUUCAAACAAAUUUUCUUUUCAUUUACGCCUAUUAUGCUUUUUGAGUGCCACUGUUUUUGCAGUUUGUGCACUAUGUUGACAACCCUUUCCAAUUAUGCAUUAGCACGUCUUAGAAAUAGUUCCCUUUUAGAUGUUUUUGAUCCGUGAUAUAUGAUACCACUGUUUGUUUUCCGAAUUCCUUAUGACUUGUUUAAGACUCUCAAAUGGUGUACUGAUUUGCUGUGUUUACAGUAAGUGCUCGGUAAAUAUUACUGAACUUCGAGGUGGCCAGAGACAUGACAUGUGGUUGCCUCUUCAAAAUAUUAAAAUGGGAAGACUGCAUCUCGCAAUAACCGUUCUUGAAGAGAAUGCUAAGGUAAUUUAUUCUAUGAUCCACAUUAUAGUCGGAAGGUUUUAAAUUGCAACCUUGCGUGCAAAUUAUUAUUAUGAGUUAAUAUGUGUCGAGAAACUAAAAAGGAUGUAUGGACAGUUUACGCAGGUAAGUGAUGGUGCUGCAGUUGAUGCUUUUGACGCCGAAGCAUUAAACAAGGAAGAUGUACAAAACUCAUUUGCAAAUAUAGAUGUGAAUAAUGGUUUAUUCUCGCCUACUUCUUCAAAGAAAUCUCCGACCCUGCCGGAUCAUUUAGAACCGAUAGAUGUUGAAGGACAACAAGAAACCGGGAUAUGGGUCCAUCACCCCGGAAGUGAAGUGUCACAAACUUGGGAACCUAGAAAAGGGAAAGGUAGAAGCCUCGAGACACAGAUUCAUAAAGUGCCUAAUAGUUCAUUUGGCAGCACCAUGUCGGCUGCAUCUGGAUCCUCUAAAAGUGAUGACAGCAGUGCUGAGGAAAACCAUAAUCCGAAGAAUCGAGUCAACAGAGUUAAGCAGGGUUUACGGAAGAUCGGUUCUGUAUUUCAUAGGAGUCCCAAAAACGAGGGUCACUCAGGCAACCUCGGAGAAGUGGUUCCAUCUCCCCAUGAAAAUCUCAGAGCAGUUAAUGACAAGGAGAUUUUGGUAAAGUUUGUAGUCGACGACAAUCUUUCGGCUGAUAAGGUCUCAAACGAAGGAAGCUUGAGUCCUGGAGAAGAAAGCCCUGGAAAGAUGAAAGACAUGGCGAAGAGUAUUCUAAAGCAUGCUGAGAAAUCUGCUCGUAGCAUAAAACAUGUUCUUUCUCGUAAAGGGUCGAAAAAAUCACGCAAUCUAUCAGCUGUGGAAGAACAAGAGUUUCCAAUAGAAUCCGACUCCGAUGAUGAUGAUGAUGAAUCUUUGUCAUCCCCGGGAGUCAAGGGAAUACCAAUUCUUUCCAAUCGCAUGCCCAGCUCCCGUGGCAACGAUGAUACUGAGGAGCAUGUCAUUUUGACAGAUUCAAACAGCCAGUUGAGCCCUGAAACAAAUGUUAAGGAACAAGUAGAGAAAACAAGUGUUGAAGGACACAACAACAUAGAUGACGAAGAUGUGAACAAUCCCAUUAAGCACGGUAAUGGAAUGAACAACAUAGAUGACGAAGAUGUGAACAAUCCCAUUAAGCUCAGUAAUGGAACGAAUGAGCCACCCUUGAAACCAAAUCCUUCGGAGAGUGAGAAAAAGGUAGAAGAAGACACUUCUCAAACAGAUACCAAAGUUUAGGUUCAGUGUUUGUAUGUGCAUCCAUAAUAGAAGACUUGAAAAGAGUUUUGAAGAACAGCGGGCAUGGUCCAGCAAUUUAGAGUUUUAGAUGGAUAAGCAAUACGUAAUACGUUUAUACAUGUUCCCUGUAAAAAUCUCCUUUGUUUGAUUUCUCACAUUUGUUAUAUACAACACAUCUUUGUAGAGUUCCAAAAUGAAAACAGGUUGUACAAGUUUAUGGCUUUUUAAACUUUUAUUUAAGUUACUUUUUUUUAAUUUUAAUUUAAAAUUCAUAAUUUAAUUGUUGAUCAUUUCAAAAUAGUUAACUGCUCCUGUAUUAAAUUCACAUACAAGGAUGACUGCAUAUUUUGACAUCCAAAAUACGAGAAAGUCGAUAAAAGUUGCCAAAUAUUGUCUGUAACAUAGGUUUCCGAAUAUUCCGACGAGAUAAAUUAAAUUUAAAUUAAUCACCUAGUUUAGUCAUCAAAAUUUAAUAAAUUAACAAUUAGAUUCAAUUAUGUCGUUUAAACAUUUUGCUACAUUUGAGAAUAAUUCUUUGGUUUGAGCAUUUCAGAGUUUUAGAGAACAAUGUAUAUAUUAUCUUACAAGCUCAGAGAUGAGACUGCACUUGCUUCCAACUCCAAACCGAAAUGAUUUAACAGGUUGCAACCGGAAGCUAUGCUACUAUCAGACUCUUUCAAACAUUAAUUCUUCUGAAUUUCCGAAUUACAUUGCAUAAAAAUGUCAUUUCAAGAGAGCUAACAUUUCCACCACUCAUAUUAUGCACCGCUCGCAUACAAACGGGUCCAUUCCUUAGCUGCAAAUAGUUAAGGAAACCAAGAACAUCAAUAGUAAGAAGCACGGCAUAUCAUCUUUGAUUCUAGUAGUGAUCUAAGAUUGCAACCACAGGGUUUUACCUGUCUCGACGGCUUCGGCCUCAUUUGUUUUCCAGUGCUUAGCAAUGUUCUCCAAGAGUGGAUCAUCAGGAUUAGGAGCACUCAAGAGUGCUUGAAUGCUAGCAAUAACGAUAAUAACUUCAGUAUCAACCUAAAACUUGAUCAAGAUACCGCAAUAACUUAAAUAACAUCUUCAACCCAGACAUUAAUGAAACCCCUUUCCAAGUAUUAGCAUGUACAUACGAAAAAGCAGUGAAGUCUUUCAUGCAGAACAGAAGCUACAUAAAUAGGGUUAUGCUGCACAAAAACUUAUAAUACCUCAAAAGUACAGUUCGAAUCUGGAGAGCCGAACUCCAUUUGUCUUUCAGAAUAUCGAGGCUAUUCUUCCAAGCUGCAAGAAAGCUCAAUCCUUAGAAGCCAACAAAAGACAUCUUUAACACCAUAAAACAAGGACAAAACAAGUAACAGGUAGAGCUGACCUUAUCGAUGUUAGGAUGAUAUAUCUUUGUAAGAAACCGGACCUGUUACACCAAAUUUGUUAAGGUGGAUAAAAAUACAGAACAUUCCAAAAAGGGCAAAACUAAUGGAAGAUGAAAAAAUUCUGAGAAACAAACAAGUCCAAUCACCAUACUAGUAAAUGUAAGAACAAGGACUUUGAAAAGCCAGUGCAUAUAACAUACUAUUAAAUGUUCAUUUCCAAUCAAUAUUUUCCUCUCAAAUGUCAUUAAAAGCAAAUAAUGACAUAGAACCAAAACUUCACCAUGUUGAAAGGAGAAUAAUACCUAUUUGCCACACCAAUAAAGUAAAAGUGAAAUUCUGUUGAACCUGAAACUACCGGAACAGAUAAAGCAGCGUUCUCUACAUGCAAACUAGUGCAUCCCUAAUUCAUAUUAAAAUCCAAUAUAUAACAUUUUCAGAUGAAGUCGAUCAAUAUCGUUUAUCAAAGGAACAUCAAUCGAGCAUAUCCCAACAUAUGCAAAAAACAUGAAGGUCAUGCUUUAAGAAUAAGUCAAUGUUGAUUACCUUGGGAGCCGCCAUGGGAUAUUCUUCAGGCAAAAAUAGUUCCAACUUGAAAACCCCUCCUAAACAAAGAACCCAAACAAGAAAAUUCAUCAUAUUCCAUACAUAAUCCAAAAUGAUAAAAAGGUGAUGAGAUAUUACAAAGCAUGCGAAUUGGCCUUAAAUUUCAACACAGAAAACAUGGGUCCCUUUCUUUAUCUUUAAAAGAUGGAAAUGAAGUAAUAUAAACGCUGCAUAAUCAUUUUCUCAAAAGAACAGAAAAAAAAGAAAAAGCAAACUUUACGCAUAUGGAGGUUAUUUUAAUAACUAAAAAUUGGCUAUGGUGUCAAUCUGCAUGUAUUAAAUCAGCUGAGAUCGAACUAUUAUACAAUAACUUCUAAAAUUUUACAGUUCUAACACAAAGAAAAAUUAUCAGCAACCAUCAGAUUAAAAAGAAAAUCAACUACCUUCAUAUGGAGAUUGUGUUGGACCAAGGAUCAUCACAUUGAAAUAUCGCAUAUUAUCCUCUGAUGGUGAGGCACUAAUUCCAGGCGCUGUAUUUAAGGGGGGAAAAACAAUAAACUCUUUUAUUUACCAGGAAAAGAAACCCAGAAAAUUCAACAAGAGAAAAAAAAGAGCAGAGUAUUUACCUGGUUCACUGAGGAGACGCUGAGUUUCCUGUUUAGAUCAAAGAUUAAGAAACAAAAAUUAAGCAUGAAGCAUUUACAAAAUUCACACAAACAAACUAAGAACACUUAAAAUAAUUUGCUGAAGCUUUUGAUUCAUUAAAACCCAAAACAAUUCAGCUACCAAAUCAAACUCUAAAAACCCAGAAAAAAGAAAAACAAAAAUUAUGAGGCUUCUAAUGAAGAAACCGAGAAGGAUCAGAGUGAGACCGAAAAAGGAACCUUUAUGAUUCUUCGAGGGAGAUUACUGUUGGCCAUUGGCGAGAUCGAUUGCAAGAAAAAAAAGAAAGAGGGUUUUUGGGAUUUAGAAAUUGAGAGAAAACGAAAUUAAGAAUCUUUUGUGUAUAUAAAAAGAAAGAAAAAAAAAAGGAAAUUAUUUAAUGCGCUAAAAAAUAAUAUAAAAAAGAAAGUACUUAACAUAAUGUUUAUGUAUAAAUAUAAAAAAAUAAUAUAUAUACUAGUAAUCUCCCUCGAAAAAUCAUUCAGGUCCCCUUUCGAUCUCACUUUGAUCCUUUUCGAUUUCUUCCCAGAAGAUUUUUUUUUCGUUAAAUUUUGUGUGUUCUCCUUUCUGGGUUUCUGGAGUUUGAUUUGGUAAUUGAAUUGGUUUGGGAUUUAAUGAAUCAAAAACUUCAGCAAAUUAUUUUCAGUCUUGUUAGUUUAUUUGCGUGAAUUUUCUAAAUGUUUAUUGCUUAAUUCUUGCUUCUUAAUCUUUGAUCUAAACAGGAAACUGAGCGUCUCCUCAGUUUACCAGGUGAAUACUCUGCUUUUUUUUUUUUAAUUUGAAAUCCUUGUUGAAUAUUGUUUGCUAUCGUUUUUCGGUUUAAAUCUUAUGAGCUGAAAAAAAGUUAAAAUUUCUGGGUUUCUUCUCCUGGUAAAUAAAAGAGUUCAUUGUUUUUUCUUUUUCCCUUAAAGAGUUGAUUGUUUGCUCUCAUAUACUUAAUGGUGAAUUAAUUUUGUUUUUCUGGUAAAAAUUUGAUCAACCCCAGGAGUUUGAUACAUUGACACCAUGAAAGAGGAACAACGCUUACUUCUUCUCCACUCAUCCUCACUCUUCUCUCCUCCUCAAGGUCUUUCCUUUCCUUCAAAAACCAAUUGAUAUUUCUUUUCAAUUUUGUUGCUAACAAAAACAUUGAACUUUCUAUUUUACUUUUUUGGUUUUUUUUAGGAGUGAAGCUAUCAUAUGGGACGGCAGGGUUCAGGGCAGAUGCAUCGAUCCUUAAAUCAACAGUUCACAGAGUUGGGAUAUUGGCUGCUUUAAGAUCACUCAAAACCCAAUCAGCUGUUGGAUUGAUGAUCACAGCUUAACACAAUAAAGUUACUGACAAUGGAGUCAAAAUUGUUGAUCCAAGUGGUGGAAUGCUCACUCAAGAAUGGGAACCUUUUGCAGAUCAACUUGCCAAUGCCCAAACUCCUGAAGCCUUCCUCUCAGUGAGUAGCCUCUUCUUUAUGUUUUUGGAUGCGCAUUUUAUUCGUUUUAUAGUAAUUCAGUGAAAUUAUUGCUGAAAGAUAAUGGGAAGUGAUGCAUUUUUAAAUAUAUUUCCAAAUUUUCUUGAUGAUUAAUGUUAAUGUGUUCUAUAAGAAACAAUAGCUUUCUUUCCCCUUGAUGAAAAUACAAUGUAUUAUGCAUAUAAUUAACAGAAAAAGUAAACCAACUAAUAUAGCCUAAGAAGCCCACUUGUAGUUGAAAAAAAUUCCAAUAUAAAGUUAGAGUAGUUUGUAUAAGGUGAGACUUACAGUUGAGACCUAAUGGUUUUGGGAUUGUCGCCUUACCUGUGAGACAAGGUCAGUUGAGAAAGCAACAAUCGUUUUGAUACUAUAGUUUAUGUUUGUUUGAUGAGUGAACUGAAGGUGUAAUAAUUUUGUUUAAGCUCAAAAAGUAUGCUAAAUUUUAGUGUUGUUGUGUAUUUGAUAUAAAUGGAGAGGGAGUUUUAGGAAAGGGAUGUUGAGUUUGAAGAGUGGAUUUAAAUUCAAUGUUAAAUGCGACUAGGAAUGCAUAUUAUACUUAUCAAUUGUUUGUUCAUACAACAGCUCAUAACAGAAUUUGUAGAGAAGGAAAAAAUUCCAUUAGAUGGAGUGCAAUCUGCAGAGAUAUUGUUAGGAAGAGACACCCGGCCUAGCGGAGAAUCUCUCCUUGAAGCUGCAAAGCAGGUACACUUUUUUUAAUCAACAGGGGAUUGCUGAAACUUUGAUAAUUUUCAUUGUGAUGUUAAAUGCAUCUAUCAUUUGCUAAUAUCUAUCUAUUUUUUAGGGAAUAAGUUCAAUUCUUGGAGCUAUUGCACUUGAUUUAGGAAUUUUAACAACCCCACAGCUGCAUUGGAUGGUUCGUGCUAGGAAUAAAGGCAUGAAAGCGACAGAACCUGCUUAUUUUGAACAGAUUUCAAACUCCUUCAGGUUAGUUGAAGCUUCAGGUUUUUUUGUAGCCAUUUUUUAGCUUGAAAUUGUACUACCUACAGUAAUGUACUAUUGUUUAGGUGCUUGGUAGAUUUGAUCCCAAAUGAAACCAAAAGCAGCAAGAUGGAUAACACAGUUGUGGUUGAUGGGGCUGAUGGUGUGGGUGGAGAGAAACUUGAAGUUUUGAAAACUAUGUUAACCAGUUUAGUUAUCGAGGUUCGUAAUACUGGUAAAGGUGGGGGUAUAUUGAAUGAUGGGGUUGGUGCUGAUUACGUACAGAAAGAGAAGGUUGUUCCACGUGGAUUUUGUUCCAAUGAUGUUGGAUUAAGGUGUGCUAUCUCUUCAGAUUUGGGAGUAAAUUACUGUUAUCAACUGUUUAUAAGCUAAUUAUUCUUGCAUCUCACUGAAUUGUUGAUCAAAGGUUAAAGGCACAUUAAACAUGUAACAAAUUUGUGAUAUUCUUUUCUUUUUAUAACUGGUGUGUAUAAUUAACAAAUUUUCGAUGGUUUGAUAACUGUCUAGUUAGCACUGCUUCAUGAAGUGAUCACUAAUCAGACACUUGAUUGAUUCAUGAUGGUAUUUGAUGGUAUUUUUACUAUGAUACUGUUUCUAGAGUAUGUUUUGAAAUCUGGUCGUGCUCUGAACUUUUGUUUAUUAGGUGUGCAAGUUUGGAUGGUGAUGCUGAUCGCCUUGUAUAUUUUUCGGUCCCAACUAACAGUAGCAGAAAAAUUGAUCUUAUUGACGGGGACAAAAUAUUAUCCUUGUUUGCAUUGUUCAUCAAGGAGCAACUAAGUAUUCUGACCAAGAAGGGCACUGAAAACCUUAAUAAUAAUUCUCAUGCUCGACUUGGUGUUAUACAGACAGCUUAUGCUAAUGGAGCAUCCACUGAUUAUCUCAAACAAUUGGGUUUGGAAGUCAUUUUUACUCCUACAGGGGUAAAACACUUGCAUGAGAAAGCUGCUCAGUUUGAUAUUGGAAUCUAUUUCGAAGCCAAUGGUCAUGGCACUAUCUUGUUCUCUGAAUCCUGGUUGUCUUGGUUAGAGGCCAGGAACAAUGAAUUAGGUUUUGCAUCUGAAGGUAAUUUAUGAAUAGAGUCCUUUUCUUAGAAGAAUUAUCUAUUAUAGUUUAUCGAGUAUUAUUGUCAUUUUUUUCUCAGGAUCCGAACAACAGAAAGCUGCUCUAAGACUACUCUCUGUCAGUAAAUUGAUCAACCAAGCUGUUGGAGACGCUUUGAGUUGCUUGCUUUUGGUUGAGGUUGUUUUGCAACAUAAGGGUUGGUCCAUACAUAAAUGGAAUGAACUUUACCUGGAUUUACCUAGUCGACAACUUAAGGUCAGUUUUCGUUAUCACUCUUGGAAAAGAAACUAGGGUAGUCUUUCCCAUCUAUAGAAGGGAUCAUCAUAUCUACCUUUUCUUGCUAGUUUUCCAUAUUUUGACUAAGAUCUUUCUUUUGCACGUUACACCUAAGACAUCUUAUAACUCGUUGAAGAGAUGGACCAUUUGAUUUUCUAUACGAGGGAGAAAGUAUGCUUCAUGUCUGUUGAACUUGAAAAGGAUUCAUAUAGUCCUCAAUAGAGAGGCUGUGUUCGAGGGCUUCUAACUAAACUCCUAGAGUUUGACUAGUAUAAGCUUGCAACAUUAGCUUAAAAAUAUUAGAUUUAUUACAUCAGAAAGAGAAAAAAGGGAAAAUCUUUGAUACAACUGAUUUCUGCAUGCUGCGUCCACUUUAUAAUGUUUGUCUUGUAAACUCUGCUAUAGUGUAGUCUUACAUUAGCAAUGCUCAAACAAUUUAAUGUUUCCAUUGCUUGUGCUAGGUCAAAGUUGUAGACAGAACAGCUGUUGCAACAACAAAUGCCGAAACUGUAGCUAUUAGUCCCCCUGGCAUUCAAGAAGCCAUUGAUGCUGAAACUGGUAACAUUUUUGUCAUUGAUCUCAUCUCAAUGCAUGUUUUGGUGCUUAUCCUUGGGCUUAUUUUUUGGUUCAAUUAACAUCUAACUGUUGGGGGAAUAUUUUUCUCUUAAAUCUCUUUCGAGGCCUCGUGUAUAUUAACUAUUUCUGAGAACUCAUACAAAAUGCAGCGAAGUACCCUAGAGGCCGGUGUUUCAUACGACCAUCAGGUACAGAGGAUGUCAUUCGUGUUUAUGCAGAAGCCUCCACCCAAGAAGCUGCAGACAGCUUGGCCGGUUCUGUUGCCAAAAUUGUUGAUCGUUUUCUAGGUUUUAGCAGCUCUCAGCGGUAGCUUCCCUAAUCUUUCACAAUGUAACAGAAAUCACAAAUGGAGACGCAGAUUACUGUGGGUGCUUUAUAUUUUAUGUUUUGUUUUGAAGGUAAUAUAUUUUGUUAUACUUUUUUAUAACAUUAAACUUUGUCAUCUUACUUUUACAGGCAUUGAUUUCAAAUUGAGUUUUCCCCACUACUUUGAACAUUACAGAGUUCCUUUUCUGUUCGGUAUCUACUCGUCUAUGUGGAUGCUUCCCUGUGCGGUAAAAGUACCCCGCAAUCUUUCACCUUCAUCCCUUGCCCUUCAUUGUCCUGGUUGAUGAAAUGGUUAAACUACUUCUUUGGCUGACAAUUCCGACUCCAACCGAGUAAUCCAUUUGGUGAUGGGCAAGGAACACAUUGGUUUUCCUCCCAUUCUGUGCCCCACAUUGAUUUCCUAGAGAAGAGUGCAAUGUCUCUUCCCAAGCUUGUGAAACGAACUUGUCAUAGUAGGUAAAAGCCCCAUCGGCCUUGUCAAAAAUGAGAACCUUUUGCCGAUCAACUUCCCAAUGCCCAAACUCUUGGAAGCUCUCCUCUCUGUGGGUAACAUUUUAUGUUUGUGGAAGUGGGUUUUAUUUGUUUUAUAGUAAUUCACUGAAAUUAUAUCAAGAAACUAUUGGAACACCCGGAAAUAUAUUUGAGCACCUCCAACUUCUAAUAAUUAACAAAAAAAAAAAAAGAAAAAAAAAGGAAGCUUUUGUGCUUCAGGGUACAGCCUUUUUUAUAUUCAACAUCACCAUAAGCAUUUUAAAUAAUAAUAUAAAAACCAGCACCAUAAGCAUUACUUUCCAACAUCAAAUUAUGUUUAUCCAAUUCCUCAAGUACAAGGUUAACCAACGAGGAAUCUACAAGAAAUGCCAGUCCUUUAUCAUUAAAUAUUUAAAGUGUUAAUAAACAAAUCCAUCCACCAAACCAUCAAAAACAAUGUCAAACUGAACAAUGAUGUACCAUUUCCCUGAGAUCCUUCCCAUGUAAGUCUUGAAGAGCAUCAUACUCCACCAAUCUAUCUCCUUCACUCACUUCACACAAAUUUUUCAUUGUAAGAACAAAAAUUUUAUUUACUCGAGUUUAAAAAGGGUAAAAAUAAUUAGUUUAACUUUUUAAUUUUAAAUUGAAUUGAUUCAAUCGAUAAUUUGAUCUAAUAUAUGAACAAUUAACUAACAAAUAAAAAUACAUCCCACCACAUAAUUAUUUUAAGUGUGUUAUUUUCAAAAUAAAAAUCCCAAAGUUUUGAUAUUUAUAAAAGAAAUUAUUUAGUUAAUUAUUAAUAAUCCACCAACAUGACAUGUUAUAGUAUAUGGUCAAAAAUAUUUAAAAUAAUUAAUAUAAUAAAAAAAUAUGUCUUCUUAGUGGGGCUUUUUAAUUUUAAUUAAUCCAAUUUAAAUAACUAUAUAUAAAUAUUAUUAAAUUUUAAAUAAAAAAUAAAUUCAACUAAACCGGUUCAUGGGCCGGAUACGAGCCCACCGUUUUUCUUCAACAAACCGCGAAAGAGCAGAUUGCUUGAGUGAUGUUUAUAAACAAACGGCCGAGAAAAUGACAAUACACUCACCAAACCAGCAAACCAAACGAAGGAUAACAUUAAAAAUGAACACUUAGAAAGAUAUCUUCUAGAUUUUGCUUAUUAAGGCUUUGAUUUGAUCGUUUCCUCGAUCUCAUUUAAUAUUUUUAAAAUUAAUCUCAAACCCAAACCAUCCCAUUCAGCGGAAUUGACAAUGCUGCUUAACGUGGGUACUUUCAUAAGAUCAGCUACUCGAUUUUCUCCUUUCAUUAUAACCCAUUCUUCUCCUUCUUCGUUUUGUUUCAGUUUCUCUCCAAAGCAAACCGUCUCUUUUACUCUACAAUCAUCGCAAAUGGCGUCUUUUACUACGUUAUCUCAAUCGCCUCCAAAGCUAUUGUUUCGUCAGUUGUUCGAGAAAGAAUCAUCUACUUAUACUUACCUUCUUGCUGAUUGUUCCCACCCUGAUAAACCAGCGCUUGUAAGUGUUUAUUUUAAUGAAAAUAAAAUCUAGGUUUUGUUUGCUUUUGGGUUUUUUUUUAUUAGUAUUUGAUAUAUGGUGAAAAUGGGCGUGUGCAGUUGAUUGACCCUGUAGACAGGACUGUUGAUAGAGAUUUAAAUUUGGUUAAAGAAUUGGGGCUGAAGCUUAUUUAUGCUAUGAACACUCAUGUACAUGCUGAUCAUGUUACUGGAACUGGCCUCAUCAAGGUUUUCCCUUUCUCACUUUUACUCUACUCUGUUCUCUAUAUUUUUGGGGUUAUUAGAGAAAUAAAGUCUACUAUCAGUCAAUUUUGUUACUUAAGACUUGAGACUGUUGAACUGGAUAAUUCAGGUUCUAAUCAUUCAGGGAAUGUUAUUGGCUCUUAGAUUGACGUAUAUGAAUGUGAUUGUUCCUUUUAGGGCAAGGUGCCUGGUGUCAAAUCCGUUAUUUCAAAGGCCAGUGGUUCCAAGGCUGAUGUUUUUGUUGAAGCUGGUGACAAAAUCUCUUUUGGGGAUCUCUUUCUUGAGGUAGGCUUGUGUACGCAAAACUGCUUGUUCUGUCAGUUUCGUUGUAUGGAUCUUUUUAAACAAUUCAGGAGAAUAUAGCUAUGAUGUUGCGGUGGUUUACGUAUUGCUGGCUCGUUAUGAAUUCUAAAAGAUGAAAAAGAAAAUAGAGUUAGAGAUGUGAGUAUACUGUGUAGGUAACCAUGAUCAGCAUUCUAAUGGUUUUGUUAUUUAAUUGGUAAUUUGGUUUUUUUAUUUUGAUUACACCCAAACUUCCAAUGUGGUUUAACGGUCAUUAUUGAAUGAUGACCAGUAGGUCUACUGCAGUACUAUCUUCUAUAAUAAGGUAAUAAUUGCAGGUCCGUGCUACUCCUGGUCAUACAAUGGGUUGUGUUACCUAUGUCACGGGAGCUGGACCAGAUCAACCUCAGCCAAGGAUGGCUUUCACAGGAGAUGCUCUGUUGAUAAGGGGAUGUGGGAGGACAGAUUUUCAGGUGUAAUGUCUUGAAAAUGUUAUUGCAGCUAAUCGCAAAAAAAUGGAACGAAUUAAUAUUCAUGUCAUUAAUACAAAAGAAGCAGUCUAAAUUAAAAUGUUAAGCAUGUAAACCAAUCUUGGCUUUGCUUAUGCAAUUUAAAAUUUUUGUAUGUCCCCAUGUGAUGUUUGGAUUACGAAUGUAUAUUUAUCCACUGAUAUUUGUCCCAGGAAGGGAUUGUCGAACCAAUAAUUGAUUGUUUUUGCAUUUAAUUUGCAUGUCCUAUUUGUAUUUCAAACAAUAGGACCGAUGUGUAGAUAUCUAACUCUCGGUUACCUAUUUGUCUAGUCUUCUACUUAUCAGUGCCUACCUUGUUACUGUGGUUGCACAUAAAAUGUUUGUCAUUCAGAAGCCUCAUGGUAAACUAAUCAGUAAUUCAAUCAUCCUUGAAGUAAAAGUUUGAACUAUCAGGGCUAUACUUUUUGCAAUGGAUUUUCAGUCAUGAGUACAUAAAUGCUUGUUUUAUAUGCUGGCAAUUUCUUUCCAUCUGGAUGUCAUUGUCAUGGAUAUUUCUUUGUCUUCCAGGAUUUUUGUUAUGCUUAAGUUUUUAAGAUAAUUUUCUCUAAUGCUUCCACAUUCAGUAGCCAUUGACUAGUACUGAUUAAUACAUUUUGCAGGGUGGAAGUUCACAGCAACUCUACAAGUCAGUGCAUUCACAGGUAAGGACAGGGUCCUUUUAUGGUCCCAUUCUUUGAGUUCUCAAAAUUUUAUUGUAAUUGUCAAAAUUUGAAUAAAAAUUAUGGACUUAUUUGUUUCAUGGAUCCAGAUUUUUACAUUACCGAAAGAGACAUUGCUAUAUCCAGCUCAUGACUACAAAGGAUUCUCAGUAAGAUAUAUAACUUGAUUCCUAUCAUUUCUUACAUAUAUAAAUGAUUGUUUGAUUAUAUAAAACUCAUUGAUUAUAGGUAACCACUGUGGGAGAGGAGAUGCUAUAUAAUCCACGCUUGACAAAGGAUGAGGUAUUCUUUCCGGAACCAUCCAUCUUCCCUUUUCUUUGGAAAACAGCUUGUUACUUUUGACAAUAGAACAUUAAGAGUGCAUGUUUUCAUUUCAGUGAUAAGAAAGGGUUUCCUUUUAUCCGUAUGAUCUUUAACUCGUAUAAGCCGCAUAUAACUUCUGUAAUUAAAAUUGCAUAUGCAUUGAACAUUUCUUGCUGAGCAUUGGUUUGAUUCUCUUGGAUGGGACUAUUCCAAUGAACAUCGCUAUGGUAAAACAUGAAAUCAUGAAAAAGCAUGACAUCUCGAUAUCUUCACGCAUUUGAUUGAAGAUUAUUCUUUAUUGUGGUCAUAGAAUACUAGUUUCAAUGUGUCCUAUCAACAUGUCUGAUAAGAUAUUAUUUGUUGAAUACCCUUUUUGCAGGAGACUUUCAAAAAUAUCAUGGAAAGUAAGUUGAUGCUCACUAUAUCCAGUCUAUAAAAGAUUAGAAAAAAAAACAAAAAAGCAUCUUUGGGUUUUUUCGGAUUGCUGGUUCUGAUAUCUCCUCUGUUUUUGUUGGUGCAACAGAUCUUAACUUGGCAUAUCCUAAGAUGAUUGAUGUUGCAGUGCCAGCAAAUAUGGUUUGUGGGUUGCAAGAUUUGGAACCUAAAGCCGAUUGAGGCUUUGCUGGACACCAUCCAUAAGUGUGCACAGAUUUUAGUUGUAUUAUAAUUCUGGAUCUUAAUAUCACUGGAUAUGCUAAAUAAAAUGGCUAGAGAAGCCACGUGAUUGCAAGGAAUCCAUAAAUUAUAAAUAUAUACUAUAUCAUAUUGUAAUCAUGUAAUAUUGUCGUCUUUCUAUCUGCAUCAACUUGUGUUCUUCAUACAUACCCUCCUAAGUUACCGAACUAUCUAAACAACAGAACACCAAUCAUAUUUUUAUUAUGGACCAAUCAUAUUUUUCAGGUUUGAUUUGAUUAUUGGACCAACCAAAUUCAGCCAUAUCCUCUACAUUUCUGAAUUCGAUCAAGUAGAACAUAUUAGUAGGUAUAAGCUAUGAGUUGAAUUUGAUUUCAAGAUAAAUAACGAGUUGUACAAAUUUGUUGGAUUAACUUUGAUUUUAAUUUCAAUAUUAUAAUUUGAAUUCAAAUUAAUAUUAAAAAUUUUCAUUAUAAAUUAACUCGUGAAUUUUUUUCAAAACAAAUAUUAGAAGAUUAGAAUUUAAAUCAUUCGAUAACUUAAACUGACUCGAUUAACCGAAGUGAAUCAGGAAUAAUUUAGCUUCACAAGAUGUGUCGUUUAUAUCCCAAAUUACAAUGUAAUAAUAAGUUAAAAUUGCCAAACUGGGUAUGAUAGGCAGAAGGCAGCUUCCUGAACCCGAUCCUAACGCUCAAUUUUCCCUAGUUGAUUGAUCACCAUAACCAGAUCUAAUUUCCCAAUCUAGAAUCUCCCUGGGAGGAGAAAUGAGGAAUGAAGAUAGAGACAGAGGUGUAGCUGUAGAUAAACAGCAGCAUAACCAAUAUGGAACAUUCCAAGGAGUUGCCAACUACCCUCCUCCACGUCCUCCACGUCCCCACCACCACAACCCGCAUCCGCAACAGCAACAGCACCAGCACCAGCAACAGCAACAGCACCAUGUGCCAACUAUUGGGUUUCCUCCACCUCCCUCUAUCGCUCCUCCUCAGUAUUACCCCCAAGCCUACCAGACCGUGCCGGGUAUUCUACAAAUAUGAAAAAACUUUCUUCUCUUUUUAUUAGCUUAUCGAAAUGAAGGAUUUUGAGAUUUGGGUUCUUGUUAGAUGAAUGGUUAAUGAUAUUUUUUAAAUGAAAGAUCCAAGUUUUUUAAUGUUUUAGAAGAAAAGGUGUUUAAAUAUUAGGAGUUUUUUAGCAGAGAAAGAAGAUAAAUAAAUGCAUGAGAUACAUUAGCAAUAUUAUUUGGAUUUGGUUGUCUAAUGUAUUGAAUUUUUUUUUUAAGGGUGACCUGAGUAGGUGUGGGAAGAUUCAAAGUUUUUUCUAUUAUAGCAGAUAUAUAUAUUUUAAUGGUUUAAGAAGAAUGGAAGUUGGUUUCAAAGGAAGAUGAGAAAUAAAAGCAUUUAUAUAUAUAUAUAUGAUAUGUCAUUAAUUCAUAAACCAAACAUAUAAAAUAUGUAAAAAUGUUUGGGGGUUAAUUAUGGUGUUUUGACAAUCCUGUAACCUUCAACUUGAAGAAAACCUUAGGUUUCUAAAAUUUAUGUGAAGAGUUAGAAUGGUAGGCUUCAUGGAUCUGAAUAACUAGAAUCAAUGUAAGAGUGGUAUAUUGUGUGAAGUUUGGUUUCUUGUAUAUAAUUGUAUCGAAAACAAUGUUACAUGAUUUAAAAUGAUCGUUCAUCCAAUUUAACAAAGCCUGCAUUAUGUUGAUAAAAAAUUUUAAUUCAUGUUGCGGUUUGUUCUAUGAUAUCUUUGAUGUCUAGGUUAUGAUGUUGCUGAAGGAACACCUGUAAGAGAUAAGCUACCGUGCUGUGGCAUUGGAUUCGGAUGGUUCUUGUAAGUGUACAUAGUUUUCUUUGUUUUUUAGGAGUUCUUUACAUAUGAAGUAAAACAAGUAGCAACUUGAUGGAUAUGUCAUUAUGCUUUAACUUGAACAAAUCAUUUUCCUUUAUCUCUAAUUGCCAUUUCUUUAAAAGAAAAAGAGGGAGUUGUGUAGUUUACAGUUUGGACAAAUGGGAAGUUAAUAUAAUGCACUAUUUGGAUGAAAAUGUUAUAAGAAACCUGUGAGUUCAUAUUGGGUUUAUUUUUAUUGAAGCAAUGGUUAGCAUGUAGCAAUCACAUGUUUUAUUAUUAUUACUAUUAUUAUUAUUAUUUGGAUGUAAUGAUGUAACUUAGUUGUAUUCCAACUAAGUUUGUUAGUGGUAGUAGGUGGUGAUUUAUUUUAAGUGGAUGUAAUGAUAAAACUUAGUUGUAUUCCAACUAAGUUUGUUAGUGGUAGUAGGUGGUGAUUUAUUUUAAGUGGAUGUAAUUAUAAAACUUAGUUGUAUUCCAACUAAGUUUGUUAGUGAUAGUAGGUGGUGAUUUAUUUUAAGUGGAUGUAAUGAUGAAACUUAGUUGUAUUCCAACUAAGUUGUCAAGUUGUAAGCUUGUAUAAAUAGGCUUUAUGCCAUUUUAAAAAAAUGAAUGAAUUCAAUCAAGAUUUCAUCCAUAUACUCUCUAUUUUAGCUUUGCUUAAAAUUUAUUUCAUUUUUCUUCUUUGUUUCUGUCGCAAGUCUCGAUUCUUGCUCCUCAAGCUUUUUGUUGAACCUUGCUAUUUGUUGCACUUAGCUCCAACAAUUGGUAUCAAGAGCCUAUUUCUUAAGGGAUCUGUUAUACAAAUUCAUGGCUUCAUCAAGCUUUUCACCAGCUGCACCUCAAGUCUUCAAUGGAGAAGGCUACCACAUAUGGGUGGUUAAAAUGAAGACCUACCUACAAGCUUUCGAUCUGUGGGAGGUAGUCAACUCAGAUGUUGAACCAGAGCCACUUAGAGGCAAUCCAACAGUGGCUCAAAUCAGGCAGCAUGCUGAUGAGAGGACCAAGAGGCACAAAGCCAUGUCUUGCAUCCAGAACUCAGUGUCAGAUGUGAUUUUCACAAGGAUUAUGGCCUGUGAAUCACCAAAACAAGCCUGGGACAAGUUGCAAGAGGAGUUUCAAGGGACAGAGAGGACAAGGCAGCAACAGUUGCUGAACUUAAGGAGAGAUUUCGAGAAUUUGAAGAUGAAGGAAGAAGAAACUAUCAAGCAGUACUCUGACAGGAUUAUGGCUGUGGUUAACAGCAUAAGGCUCCUUGGAGAGUAGCUCAAGGAAGCUAGGAUAGUGGAGAAGGUUAUUGCAACUCUGCCCGAGAGGUAUGAGGUAAAAAUCUCAUCUCUCGAGGACUCAAGGGACCUGUACACCAUCUCCCUGACAGAGUUGAUCAAUGCUUUAUAUGCUCAAGAGAAAAGAAGAGCAAGCAGACUGGAGGAGCAUCAAGAAGGUGCCUUUCAGGCAAGAACAAACACUGCCUACAAAGGCAAGAAGGCCUGGAGAGACAAGCCAAGGACUGAUGUUGCAAGAAAAGAGGGUCAGACUUGCAAGCACUGCAGAAGGGCUGGUCAUCCAAAAGAAAAAUGCUGGUUCAAUCCAGAUGCUGUAUGUCAGCAUUGUAAAAAGAAGGGUCAUGUUGAGAGAGUCUGCAAGAGCAAGGCCAAAUCAAGGCAGAGUCAGUUUCAACAGAAGAAAGCUGAGGCUCGAGUAGCUAAGGAGGACAGUGACCAAGAGGAGCAAGUCUUUGCUGUGUUAUGCUCAGCUGCUCAAGAAAGGUUCUCAUCUGGUUGGCUUCUAGACAGUGGAUGCACCAACCACAUGACACCUGAUACUGCAAUCUUCAAGUCUUUAGACAGAAGCUGCAGAACUAAAGUCAAGAUAGGAAAUGGACAUUUUAUUCAAGCUGAAGGCAAGGGUGAUGUGCUGAUAUGCACCCCCACAGGUGCCAAAGUGAUUUCAAAUGUGCUUUUGGUGCCUGAAAUUGACAGAAACCUGCUCAGCAUAGCUCAGUUGCUGGAGAAAGGUUAUUCUGUUGUGUUCAAAGACAACCAAUGCCAAAUCAAUGAUCCAAGUGGAUCCAAGCUGAUGGCAGUUCCUAUGGCUAAUAAGAGCUUUGUAGUUGACUGGACCAGGGAGUCAGACAUUGCCUACACAGUCACAUCAGAUGAAUCCAAGCUUUGGCAUCAAAGACUGGGACAUGUCAACUUCAGAUCGAUGGCUCGAAUGGUCAGAGAGGACUUGGCUGAAAACUUCAUCAACUCAGUGGAUCAUGAUGAUGUGUGUGAAGUGUGUCAGCUAGGAAAGCAGGCCAGACUCCCAUUUCCCUCGAAUCAAGCCUGGAGAGCCUCUGAAAAACUCCAACUGGUGCACACUGAUGUGUGUGGCCCUAUGAGGACUGAGUCAUUAAGUGGAAACAGGUACUUCAUACUGUUCAUUGAUGAUUUUUCAAGAUAUUGCUGGCUUUACUUCCUAAAACAGAAAUCAGAGGCGGCCUCAGUGUUUUGGAAGUUCAAGACUGCUGCUGAGACUGAAACAGGUUGCAAGCUGAAGUCCAUAAGGUUUGAUAAUGGGACUGAGUACACCUCAGCUCAGUUCCAAGCCUUCUGUGAUAAGGCAGGCAUCAAACAUCAACUUACCAACACAUAUACACCUCAGCAAAAUGGUGUAAGUGAAAGGAAGAAUAGGAGUUUGAUGGAUAUGGCCAGGUGCUUGAUGAUUCAGAAGAAUCUGCCUAAAGCACUAUGGGCAGAGGCAGUUAACACUGCAAACUACAUUCAAAAUAGGCUUCCAACCAAGGCCUUGGAUCAGAAGACUCCAUUCGAAGCCUGGUUUGGAUUCAAGCCAUCACUGGCUCAUCUGAAGGUCUUUGGAUGCAUCUGUUAUGCUCAUGUACCUGCUGUCAAAAGGGACAAAUUGUCUGAAAGAGCUCGACCUGGUAUUUUGGUGGGCUACAGCACUGUUAAGAAGGGCUAUAGGAUCUUGGAUCCUUCAACAAAGAAAGUCUCAGUCAGUAGGGAUGUGGUAUUUGAUGAAAAGUCAUGUUGGAACUGGGAAAAACAUGAACCUGAGGAAGUUUCAGAAGGACUUGCAGCAGAUCAAGCUGAGCCAGAUCAAAAUGUUCCUGAAAUGGACAUUGAUGAUGAACCAGUUAGAGGAACAAGACCAUUGACUGAGAUUUAUGAAAGAGCUCAUGUAGCCAUAGCUGAACCAAGCAAUUUUGAAGAGGCUGAAGCUCAGCAAGAGUGGAAGCAGGCAAUAGCUGAGGAGAUUAGCAUGAUUGAGAAGAACCAGACCUGGGAAUUAGUUGAAAGGCCAGUCAAAAGGAAGAUAAUUGGGGUGAAAUGGGUGUACAAAGCCAAGCAAAAUGCUGAUGGUACCUUGAACAAACUGAAAGCAAGGCUAGUUGUCAAGGGGUUCAGUCAGAGGUAUGGCCUGGACUACCUAGAGACCUUUGCACCAGUGGCCAGGCUAGACACCAUCAGAUUAUUGAUUGCCUUAGCAGCACAGCUCGAGUGGAAGAUCCAUCAACUCGAUGUGAAAUCAGCCUUUCUGAAUGGUUUCUUAGAUGAAGAGAUCUAUGUUGAACAACCACAAGGGUUUGAGAUAGCUGGCAGAGAGCAUAUGGUCUACAAACUGAAGAAGGCCCUAUAUGGCUUAAAACAGGCUCCAAGGGCCUGGUACAGCAGAAUCGAUGGCUACUUGACUAAUUUGGGAUUCGAUCGAAGCAAGAGUGAGCCAACACUGUAUGUCAAGAAGCAAGGGACACAAACACAGCUCAUUGUAUCCCUAUAUGUUGAUGACCUGCUGGUGACAGGAGGAGAUCGAGCAGUGCUGGUCGAUUUCAAGACCAAGAUGCAAGAAGUAUUUGAAAUGUCUGAUCUAGGGGAAAUGUCUUAUUUCAUUGGAAUGGAGGUGACUCAAGCACAAAAUGGGAUAUUUCUAAGUCAGAGAAACUUUGCCACAAAGAUUCUGACCAAGUUCUCCAUGCAAAACAGUAAAGCAACUAAAACACCUGUUGCUGUUGGAGAAAAACUAUCGAGCCAAGGUGAUUUUGAGAAGGUUUGUGAAACAACCUACAGAAGUCUAGUUGGUUGUCUGUUAUAUUUAACUGCCACUAGACCAGACAUAAUGUAUGCUGUAGGAUUGCUCUCAAGGUUCUUGCAUUGUUGCAAUAAAAAGCAUUUACAAGCUGCUAAGAGAGUGCUUAGAUAUGUCAAAGGUACUUUGAGCUAUGGUUUAAGGUACAGCAAGGAAGGAAAUCUGAAGCUGGUUGGCUACACUGAUAGUGACUGGGCUGGCUCGAUAGAUGACAUGAAAAGCACCUCAGGGUAUGCUUUCAACCUUGGUUCAGCCAUGUUUUGCUGGAGCUCGAAGAAGCAAAGUCUCGUGGCUCAAUCUACUGCUGAAGCAGAAUAUGUGGCAGCUGCAAGUGCUGUCAACCAAGCCAUUUGGCUAAGGAAAAUCUUAGCUGAUUUGAAAGUGCAUCAAAAGGAAGCUACUGAGAUCUUCUGUGACAACCAAUCUUCAGUUGCAAUUGCUAAAAAUCCAGUGUUCCAUGGAAGAACAAAGCAUUUCAGCAUCAAGUUGCAUGUUGUUCGAGAAAUGGAGCAAGCUCAGGAAGUGAAGCUGAUCCAUUGUAAUUCUGAGGAUCAACUUGCAGACAUUUUGACUAAAGCCCUUAAUGUCACAAGGUUCGAAUGUCUAAGAAGGAAGCUAGGUGUUUGCUCCAUGCAAACCAAGGAGGAGUAUUGAAGCAAUGGUUAGCAUGUAGCAAUCACAUGUUUUAUUAUUAUUACUAUUAUUAUUAUUAUUUGGAUGUAAUGAUGUAACUUAGUUGUAUUCCAACUAAGUUUGUUAGUGGUAGUAGGUGGUGAUUUAUUUUAAGUGGAUGUAAUGAUAAAACUUAGUUGUAUUCCAACUAAGUUUGUUAGUGGUAGUAGGUGGUGAUUUAUUUUAAGUGGAUGUAAUGAUGAAACUUAGUUGUAUUCCAACUAAGUUGUCAAGUUGUAAGCUUGUAUAAAUAGGCUUUAUGCCAUUUUAAAAAAAUGAAUGAAUUCAAUCAAGAUUUCAUCCAUAUACUCUCUAUUUUAGCUUUGCUUAAAAUUUAUUUCAUUUUUCUUCUUUGUUUCUGCCGCAAGUCUCGAUUCUUGCUCGGCAAGCUUUUUGUUGAACCUUGCUAUUUGUUGCACUUAGCUCCAACAAUUUUAUAUCAUAAUUAGAUUGUUGAGCUGGCUGUCAUACUUAGAUGGUCUUUCAUUUUGCUACUUGUUAAACCAUACCACUUUCACAUUCAUACUUGAAAUGGCUGGGAUUUAGUGCCAUUCUACUUAGCAGCCUCGUGUAAUACACAGGUGAAAUGUUUAUCUUUUCAUGUCACCUUAAAGUUCCCAUUUCCAUGACGGUAUUGUUAAUUGAAGACUGGUAGACACCCCAAAAUACGGAAAUUGUUUUGGAUGUAUACCACUUUACCAUGCAUGAUUGCAUGACAUAUAUUUUUCUACAAGUUUGCAUGACAUUUUAUUAUUAUAUUGGUCGUUAUUUUCUGUACUCGUAGCUUCCAUUUAUAUAUUUUUAUGAAUUUUGAACUUUCUUGUUUAAUAAGAGAAGUAUGCUGCUUUGAAGGUUCAUCAUUGGUUUCUUCAUUGGUGGCCUUCCCUGGUAUAUUGGAUUCUUUGUUUUACUUUGUGCAAGGAUAGACGACAGAGAGAAAGCAGGAUAUAUUGCUUGCACAAUUGCCGUGAGUAUCUUUUCUAUCAGUAUUUUUUCUUUUCCAAUUUUAUGAAAGCCAUCCUGCCUUGUAUUGAUCAUCAACUUAACCAUUAUAUAUAUAUGUGUGUGUAUCUUAUGUAUUUGUACCAUGCUUUAUCUUCAAUGCAAAUAUAAGUUAAACUACAAAGAUUGGAUUGUUAAAAAAAAGUUUAAAAUGUUAAAAAAAUUGGAAAUUUUGAUUUUGUAAGAAUGAUAGAAAACCAAGGUCAAUGCUUGCAUAUGUUAUCUACUACAUACACAAUCGGGUCGAUGUCUGUCUAUAUUUUUCUUGUUUAGAAAUCGUGUUCAAUUGGGUUACAAUAUGUACUAUUGAAGUGUCAAUUUUUAAUUUCCUUAUCAAGAUUACACAUUUUUUUGUUAAUAUUUGGAAUCACUUAAUGGUUAUAAACCCUGCGUGGAUACUGUCCACAAAGUCUAGUUGGAAAAUCCCUUGUAUUCUUUGUCCUUUCUAAGAACUUUUCCUUUCCAUCAUUCUCGCUUCUGUUUUCUUUUUUCUUCCCUCUACUUUAAGUCAUUAUCUAACGUAGAUAUCCCUUGUAUUCUUUGUCCUUUCUAUGGCAAUCGAGUCAAUUGAUGGCAAGCCAAAAAAAAGAACAACUAUCCUGUCUUACUCGAUUGCCAUCCCUACUGUUAAACACCAUUAGGAAAAGGAAAAUUUUAGUUAAGCUUUAAAACAGCCAUGUUUUAACGAUGUUGGUGAUGGUGCUUGUGCAGGCCCUUCUUGCUACAAUUACAAUUAUUCUUAGUAUAACAAUUAAAGCUGGUGGGUGGUAAAGCACACCUGUUUUUGACUGAGAGAUGUAUAGGUUCCCAAAUAAUAUGUAUAUGCCCCCCCCCCCCCCCCUCUUUUAUUUUAUUUCAUUUCCAGUAAGUUAUUGUUUAUGAUAAUUUGCAACAAAUGUUUUUAUCAUUAUUUUGUUGGUGAAUGAUAAUAAGAUUAAACUUUACUUUCUUAAGCUCCAAUUCUUUGGACGUUGGUGAUUUUUUAUUAUAGUUGAUUCAUUGUAUGGUAUUAAUAUAAUUUAUGUCGCUUAAAAUUUAUAACUGGAAAUAUAAAUUUUAAAUUUUACUUCAAUUUGUUUGUAUUUAUAAAUGGUUAAUUCAAACUUAUCUUUUUCCUCAUUAUAUUUUAUAUUUAAAUUAACAUUUAAACUAUUUUCAUUAGCAAUAUUGUUAUUAAUUAUAUUUAUUAGCACCAGCAUCAAACUUACUAAAAAUUAAAUUUUUAACUUCAAAAAAAAAUAUUUUUAGCUAUUUAUCAUCACAGAGAAAAAAAGGUAAGGUCACCACGCCUCAUGCUUCAACACCUCAAACUAGACUCUCAUCACCUGUAUUUAUCAUCGAUUCAGAAUUUUAUUUUUACUGUAUUCCAGAACUACCUAGAAAUAUAUCUUCAAACUUCCUCUGGUUAAGUUCAUUGAUAGUCAACUUACUAUUAUUUCUAAAAAAAGACAAAUAAAUUGAUUAAUAGUAAUAUCAAUGGUUCAAUUUUAUUCUUACCAGUAUCUGUCCUUUAGAAAGGGGCUUAUAAAAGAGAUAAGAGGUGAGUAAACUUGAGCUUCAGCUUUCCACAAACACCUUAAUUUGAAGACACUGUUCUCUCAUACUAAAAAAGACAUGGAAGUUUACCUUGUAAUUAGAGAUUUGGUUUCAUUGCUUGUUGUUGGGUUAUUAAUGAUAUGGGGAUGGAGAGCUUUAAACUGGGUAUGGCUGGCCCCAAAAAGGCUCGAAAGGUGCUUGAGACAACAGGGUUUAUGUUUUUUUAUUUAAUCUGCAAUUUAUGAUAAUUCUUUGUUAUUUAUGUAAGGAAUUUAUUGGGAGGAAAUGCAGGAAAGAAUUCAUUUACGUGGUUUGGUCCAAGACCAAGGGUGAACAUUACGGACCCUGAAAAAAUAAGAGAAAUACUUAACAAAUUUAAUGACUUCCAGAAGGUACGUACCAAUCCACUGCUUAAUUUGCUUGUAAGCGGCCUUGCUAACCUCGAAGGAGACCGAUGGAGCAAGCGUAGAAAAAUCAUAAACCCUGCAUUUCAUCAAGAUAAGUUGAAGGUAUAGAAUAGUGAUGGGUACUCAAGACUUUACAGAAAACAUCAUACUUAAACCUGAGCUUUUCUGAUUUAGAAAUAAUUGGAUGCAGAAUAUGUUGCCAGCAUUUUAUCAAAGUUGUAGUGACAUGUUAAGAAAAUGGGAGAAGAUGGUGUGUACAGAAGGAUACAGUGAGUUAGAUGUGUGGCCUUAUCUCGUAGAUUUGACAAGAGAUGUGAUUUCCCGAUCUGCUUUUGGAAGCAGCUUCGAAGAAGGCAAACGAAUUUUCCAAUUACUAGAGGACCAACUCGUUCUCACAAUCAAAUUAAUACAAACUGUUUACAUUCCAUGAUGGAGGUAACCCUCAACUUAAUUUACUUGAAAAAGGUUGCAAAUGUUGGAAUUCGCUAAAUUCGUGUUUGUUUUCUUGAAGGUUUUUGCCAACAAAGACAAACAGGGAGAUGAAGAUGAAACACAGAGACAUAAAAGAGUCGCUUAGGGAAAUGAUAAAGAGAAGAGAGAAGGCAAUUAAAGCAGGGGAAGAGAGCAAUGAGGACUUGUUGGACAUACUUGUGGAAUCCAAUAUCAGAGAAAUGGAAGCAAAGAAUAUGGGGAUGAGCAUUGAGGAUGUGAUUGAGGAAUGCAAGCUGUUUUACUUUGCUGGCCAAGAGACCACUUCGGUCUUACUGGUGUGGACUAUGGUUUUAUUAGCAAGGUAUCCCGAUUGGCAAAGUAAAGCAAGAGAGGAGGUUUUGCAUGUUUUGGGUGACAGUAAACCUGAUGCUGAUGGCCUUAAUCGUCUCAAAGUUGUAAGUCCCUAGCAUGUCUUUUGAAGGUCCGAUCAAUGAGGUCGACAACUCAAAAACUUGGUUUUUUUUGUUUCGCUAAUUCUACAGGUAACAAUGAUAUUGUACGAGGUUCUAAGGUUGUACCCACCAGUGGUUGAGCUAGGACGUUCCGUUCCAAAAGAAAUAAAACUGGGGAAUUUGUUGUUACCAGCAGGAGCAGAAGUUUCGGUUCCGAUCCUGCAGAUCCACCAUGACAAAGAUCUUUGGGGUGACGACGCACGGGAAUUUAAGCCAGAGCGGUUGGCGGAAGGGGUUUCCAAAGCAACAAAGAGUCAAGUCACGUUUCUGCCAUUCGGAUGGGGUCCUAGGAUCUGUAUUGGCCAAAAUUUUGCCAUGAUGGAAGCCAAAAUGGCGAUGGCUAUGAUUCUCCAACGCUUCUGGUUCGAGCUUUCCCCUUCCUAUGCUCACUCUCCUUACAGCAGGGCAACUCUUCGUCCACAGCAUGGUGCACAGAUAGUUUUACAUAAACUUGGCUCUAAUUGAAUUGUUAUGUAAACAGAUCUUUUUGAAAAUAUAGCGUUUUAGUGUAUCGUCAAAGUCCGGUGUCUGUAAUGGUACAAUUCCGAUGCAUGAAUAGUAAAUUUUAAGAUGUUUGGUUAAGUCCGAAAUAAUAUGCAGAAAUUGAGUGUCUUGAAUGGAUGUAGUAUUUAAUGGUGGACAUAGUUGAGGGAUUAAUGUGGUAAUUAUCGAACAAAUAAUUGCAUAUGGUACAAAGACUUAUAUGGAAAUUAGAGCGGGGGGAGUAGAAAAUGACUACUUUGCUUUGGGCAUCAAUUUAGAAAGAUUUAAAGUACAAAUGUAUUAUUAGUUUAAAGGAUUUGUUUUAAAGAAGGAAUGACAAUUAAACCUCAUGGUUGAUUUGUGGAAGGGAACCGAUGAUGGGAUGAUUAUUCUUAGUGGUAAAAAAAAAACUAUUAAGGAGGUUAUUAUACUUGUUAUCAAUUUCUCAAAAUUUGAAUGGGUUUAAGUCAGAUUAUAUCGAGCUUGUUAGAUGAGUUCACGGACCAAGCUUGCAUGAUAAUGGCUGCUUACAGAAAUGUAUCUAUAGUUUUCUACAAAGUCAUAUGUGAAAUUAUGCAUUGGUACCGCAUAAACAUGUUUUAUGUCUAGAAUAUUAUACGUGUCUAUGUGCAUGGAAUCUACCUAGUAUAUCAUAUCAAUGAACAGUAUCAAUGGUGGACCUCAAAAGUAUUUUUGGGGGAUCAGAAUUAAACUGUAUGUUUUUAUGAAAGUAAAAAUUUAAUUUCACUAUUUUAUAGUCAAUUUCUUUUUAAUUUUUGAAGGAUUAAAUCAAAUUUUUAUAAAUUUUUAGGAGGUUGAAGUACAAUUUUAUCAUUACUAAUUUAAAAUUUUAUAAAUUAUAAAAAAUAUAAAUAAAAAAUUUUAUAUUUUAGGAUAGCCAAGGCUCCUGCCAACUCUAACUCACUGAAUAGUAUAAAUAAAUAAAUACCAUCAUCUAAAAUAUGGGUAAGUGUCCAAAAUAUGAUUUUGGUGAAAAUAUGUAGGGUUGGUCUCAUGGAAGUGUAAAGACAAGAACCCCGCUAAUGUAUGGGAUGUGUAAAGUUGAAUCUAGGGAGCAAAUAGGAGUGAAUCAUUUUGGUAACAUUUGGACAAGAAACAUAAUGAACAAAAUGAAAGGAGAGGAAGCUAGUAAAAGAUUUUUUUGGGUCAUAUAAUUUGUUUGGCAUAUAUUUUUAUAAUUUUUAAAUAUCAUUUUGGAGUUGAAUUAUAACUUUUUUUUAUAUAUUAUCUUAAAAUUUUAUAAAAUUUAAGGAGUUAAAACGUAAUUAUUCCAUGGGUCAGAGCUGCCCUCGCUUUGCAUUUCUUUGAGAUUCAGCCUUAUCUCAAUUGAGGGUUGAGUAGAAAGAUUUGGUGGAGCAAGCAAAGCUAUCAAUCAAGGUUGGAGAAAGCUUAGGAGGUCACAAUGCAUAAUUAUUUAAAUGUAAUUCUAAUAUUUAAAUAAAAUUUAUUAAUAUAAUAUCAGCAAGUGUUAAAUAUAAUGAUCAGAUACCAUUAUAUUUUUAGAAAGAGAAAAUAUGUUUAAACCUUAAAAACGGCGUUACUAAAAAUAAUAAUCACAAAUCUUGAAAUAUAAAAAAUAAAUUUUUUAAUAUAAUUAAAAUUUAAUUUGAAAGCCGAGCUGGAUAAAAUUCUAAUUUUAGAUAAUGGUACCAACAACAAAUCAAUAUUUAAAUUAAAAUUAAUCUAAAUUUAAUAUAAUCAAAUUGGACUCUAAUAUUAAAUUUAAUAUAAUCAAGGUUCAUGAACUUUAUACCCUAUGCUUUACGUAAUUGAAAAAAAAAUCAUUGGACAUAAAAGUCUACGAAAAGUUUCACUAUAUUAAUAAAUAAAUAAAUAAAAAAUAUUGCUACAAGAUUACAACACAAAGUUACAAUAAGAGCUUAUAACUUAACAAAGGCUAUCAAUAAAUAAUCUCAAACAAACUAAAGAGAAAUAUUGAGAGUCCCACCAAAUAGUGAUUGCCUUUAAAAGUUAAAAACUCGAAGUUAUAGUAUCUCAAAUGAAAUUAAACCAUGAACAUUAAAUUUUUCGAGUCUACUAGCUACUGUAAAAAAUUGAGCUCCAACGGACAACAAAUGAACCUUUGAUCGAAGAAAAUACGAAAAUUAGUCUCGGUAAAUCAAGCUGCCAAACUUACUUUUUAUCUUAUCUUUAAUUUGUAAUAAAAUUCAAAAUUAAGGUUUUGUUUGUUUCACUUAGAACAACUUUCAAAAAAUUAAUUUUGGAAAAUGGAUUGAUUUUUCGAAAUAGAUGAUAUUUUAUUGUGUAAAAAUUUUAUUUGUUGUUUGAUGAACUUUUUUUUAAAUCAUUUUUUUAGAAUUAUUUUUAGUGAAACAAAUAUAUCAUAAAUAUAUUUGUUACAAAAUAUUAUAUUAGUAUUUUCUUUUGACAAUUAAAGUUUAUUUUAUGAUAAGACAAUAUUUUAUAAUAAUUAAUAUCAUAUAUACUUAAUAAUAAAUCAUGUCUAAUUAAAAUUUAAGUUAAAUUAAAUAUAUUAAUAAAGCUACAUAUAAUCAUAUUUUAUAUAAUUAAAAUAUUAAUAUAAAUAUUUUUCAAUAAGAUAUUAAAGAAUAUUUAAAAUUUAAAUUUAUUAUUACUAAAAUUAAUUAUUAAAAUAAAAAUGUAAUAUUAAAUAAUUUAUCUAAUGAUAAGUUAUAUUAAUAAUUUAUUAUAUCAUUAAAUAAAAAUAAUUAAAUAUGUAUGUUUAAUAAUAUUAUGUUAUAAUAUUCAUUAUUAAUAUCUUAAUAUUCUUAAACAGCCGUGUCUCAAAGAUGGUUGUGAUGGUGAUGUGAUGAUGCAGCCCCCCUUCUUACAAUUACAAUAAUUUUUAGUGCAAUAAUUAAAGUUGCUGAGUGGUAAAGUAAACUUCUUUUGACUGAGAUGCAUGUAAUAUAUGGAUGUUGAGGUUUUAGACUGCGCCAUCUUUAAAGGGGUUAAAUUAUAUAUUUAUAUAAUAUGAUUAUUGUUUAUGAAUAUAAUAUUAUAGAUAAGUUUUUAUACAUAUUAAUAUGUAUUUUAUUUUAAUGUUAAUAUGUAGUUUUUUAGAUGUGGAUUCACCUAUAUAAUGAUAUGAACUCAUUAUGCAGUCUCAUGAAAUAUGCAAACACAUAUAGUGUAAAUAUAAAGUAUGAACCACCAAAAGUACAGAUCAACACCUAAUUGAAUAAUUGGAUAACAGAUAGGUAAUAAUAAAUAUCAUUCACUAUCCCCUCUUGUUUUAAUUUAUUUUAUUUCCAGUGAGUUAUUUUUUUUAUGAUAAAUUUGCAACAAAUGUUUUUAUCAUUAUUUUGUUGGUAAAUGAUAAUAAGAUUAAAUUUACUUUCGUAAGCUCCUUCAAUUCUUUGGAGUUAGUGGUUUUUUAUUCUGAUCUUUUUUUCUUAUUAAAUUUUUUAUAAUAAAUGUGUUUAUAGAUGAGGUUAGAUUAUAAUUGAAUUAUUUUAUAGCAUUAACAUAAUUUAGAUGGAUUAAAAUUUAUUCUACUAAAAAUAUAAAUUUAAAAUUUUACUUCAAUUUAUCUUAAUUUAUAAAUGAUGAAUUUAAAUUUACUUUUUCCCCAUUAUAUUCAAUUUUCCACAUAAUAUUUGGCCUAGAACAAAAACUAGAACAAUAAAACAAAUAUAAACUAUGCUACAAAGAGUAUACAGCUACAGAAAGCUGAAAUGUUUUCCAAAAAUUAUAUUGUUAACUUUUAAAAAAAAUAUUUUAGCUAUUUAUCAUCAUGAAGAAAAAAGAUACAGUCAUGCACCUGGCCUCAUGCUUCAACACCUCAACCUAGAUUCUCAUCACCUGUAUUUAUCAUCGAUUCAGAUCUUUAUUUUUACUAUAUUCUAGAUCUCCCUAUAAAUAUAUCUUCAAACUUCCUUUGGUUAAGUUCAUUCAUAGAUGGGUGAGUAAACUUGAGCUUCAGCUUUCCACAAACACCUUAAUUUGAAGACACUGUUCUCUCAUGCUAAAAACCACAUGGACGUUUACCAUGUAAUUAGAGAGUUGGUUUCAUUGCUUGUUGUUGGGUUAUUAAUGAUAUGGGGAUGGAGAGCUUUAAACUGGGUAUGGCUGGCUCCAAAGAGGCUCGAAAGGUGCUUGAGACAACAGGGUUUAGCAGGGAAUUCUUACAGGUUCCUUUCUGGUGACAUAAAAGAGCUCUUCACUAUGAGCAGACAAACAAGAGCCAAACCUAUGCCUCUUAGUGAUGAUAUUGGGCCUUAUGUUGUUCCUUUUCAACAUCAAACUGUCAACCAGUAUGGUAUGUUUUUUUGUUUAAUCUGCAAUUUAUGAUAAUUCUUUUUUAUUUAUGUAUGGAAUUUAUUGGGAGGAAAUGCAGGAAAGAAUUCAUUUACGUGGUUUGGUCCAAGACCAAGGGUGAACAUUACGGACCCUGAAAAAAUAAAAGAAAUACUUAACAAAUUUAAUGACUUCCAGAAGGUACGUACCAAUCCACUUGUUCAUUUGCUUGUAAGCGGCCUUGUUAACCUCGAAGGAGACCGAUGGAGCAAGCAUAGAAAAAUCAUAAACCCUGCAUUUCAUCAAGAUAAGUUGAAGGUAUAGAAUAGUGAUGGGUACUCAGACUUUAAAGAAAACAUCAUACUUAAACCUAUGCUUUUCUGACUUAGAAAAUAAUUGGAUGCAGAAUAUGUUGCCAGCAUUUUAUCAAAGUUGUAGUGACAUGUCAAGCAAAUGGGAGAAGAUGGUGUGUACAGAAGGAUACUGUGAGUUAGAUGUGUGGCCUUAUCUCGUAGAUUUGACAAGAGAUGUGAUUUCCCGAUCUGCUUUUGGAAGCAGCUUCGAAGAAGGCAAACGAAUUUUCCAAUUACCAGAGGACCAACUCGUUCUCACAAUCAAAUUAAUACAAACUGUUUACAUUCCAGGAUGGAGGUAACCCUCAACUUAAUUUACUUGAAAAAGGUUGCAAAUGUUGGAAUUCGCUAAAAGCGUGUUUGUUUUCUUGAAGGUUUUUGCCAACAAAGACAAACGGGGAGAUGAAGAUGAAAUACAAAGACAUAAAAGAGUCGCUUAGGGAAAUGAUAAAGAGAAGAGAGAAGGCAAUUAAAGCAAGGGAAGAGAGCAAUGAGGACUUGUUGGACAUACUUGUGGAAUCCAAUAUCAGAGAAAUGGAAGCAAAGAAUAUGGGGAUGAGCAUUGAGGAUGUGAUUGAGGAAUGCAAGCUGUUUUACUUUGCUGGCCAAGGGACCACUUCGGUCUUGCUGGUGUGGACUAUGGUUUUAUUAGCAAGGCAUCCCGAUUGGCAAAGUAAAGCAAGAGACGAGGUUUUGCAUGUUUUGGGUGACAGUAAACCUGAUGCUGAUGGCCUUAAUCGUCUCAAAGUUGUAAGUCCCUAGCAUGUCUUUUGAAGGUCCGAUCAAUGAGGUCGACAACUCAAAAACUUGGUUUCUUUGUUUCGCUAAUUCUACAGGUAACAAUGAUAUUGUACGAGGUUCUAAGGUUGUACCCACCAGUGGUUGAGCUAGGACGUUCCGUUCCAAAAGAAAUAAAACUGGGAAAUUUGU
This 31879-nucleotide long non-coding RNA is filed under the name Gossypium barbadense (sea-island cotton). Its description in RNAcentral is "long non-coding RNA (GBAR_LNC000076)". The record is from RNAcentral. Lineage: Eukaryota; Viridiplantae; Streptophyta; Magnoliopsida; Malvales; Malvaceae.